Long non-coding RNA from Lolium perenne, 887 nucleotides. RefSeq lists it as uncharacterized. Lineage: Eukaryota; Viridiplantae; Streptophyta; Magnoliopsida; Poales; Poaceae. The record is from RefSeq and is a predicted model, not a curated record.
GGCCUAUUUUGGGCCGCUGCGCGCCGCCAGCGGAAGCUUCGAUGCUCCACCGCGCGCUGCUGGUGGAAGGCCCCUGCUCCACCGUGAACCUCCCGUCGUCCGCCGCUGGAAAACUCAACCUCCACCUGUCGCCGUCAGAAUCCUCCAUGCUCCACCGCUCACCUCCCCCUAAUCCUUCCGCGCGGUACGUGGCCGAGGCUCGACAGACGCACGCUAGCUGCGCCGGCGCUGGAUGCGUGCUUCUCGAGCGCCCUAUGUGGCAUACUACAGUUCAGAUACUUCUAGAGAGGAUUUGAGGACCAGAUCAACUGCUAUGGAUGGAGCAGAACCCGGUGAGGGGCUGAGGGCCUCCAGACUCGGUGCUCGGCCGAGUAUGAAGAACCGCGGAUUGCAGCCUGCCAGCCUCUGCUUGACUGGCUGCCUCUUCUCACCACCAGAUACGGAAAUCCAUCAAAAGAAACAAGAGAUUGCGAUUUUCCAAUUGUUUCCCGUACAAAAACGCAAGUUUUAACACACAGGUUGUGGGCUUGAAGCCAAGAACCAUUUUGUGGGCAUGAAUUAACACAGGAGAAACAAAAAAACAAUCAGUCCAGUCAAAGAAUGUCAAUCGCCAGAACCGAGACUGAGCAAAGGAAGCAUUUGGCCACACAGCUAUACCAUCUCCCUACCGUGGGCAUGGAAAUGUAGUUUCCCAAAGCAGACACGUACAUACUGGUAUUGCAAGUUUAGCUUUAGUACUGAUUCAGUGUUCACUUUGUCUGGUACAUAAUUUGUGCUGCUCUCUUCUCAGAUCUGAGCUUAGAUAUGCUGCGACCUAGAAACGAUGAUUGUAUGUUGCUUCAGCCGUGAGUAAUUGGAAAAUGCUAGAUUCAGUGGGUUUUCUUUAA